Molecule: long non-coding RNA, 170 nt
Filed under: Ursus maritimus (polar bear)
Lineage: Eukaryota; Metazoa; Chordata; Mammalia; Carnivora; Ursidae
Description: lncRNA (ENSUMAG00000025335.1)
Source: RNAcentral
AAAAGAUUGAGCUGCACUGCAUUCCUAAUGUAUCGCCAUCACUAACUGGAUAUUCCUCACAACUUUGCUGUCCGCAGUGGCUGGCACUUUUCCUCCACGCUUUGAGAGAAAGAGAAUUGGCUGGAAUAAAACCUUGCCUUCCAUAUGGUCGACUUGAAAUACAGCAUUGA